Long non-coding RNA from Corythoichthys intestinalis (scribbled pipefish), 5152 nucleotides. RefSeq lists it as uncharacterized. NCBI's taxonomy places the organism in Eukaryota, Metazoa, Chordata, Actinopteri, Syngnathiformes, Syngnathidae. The transcript has 4 exons. The record is from RefSeq and is a predicted model, not a curated record.
UUGCAAUGCUACUGAUCUUGCUGCGUGACACGAAAUAGGAUCAAGGAUAAUACACUAUUGCUCGUCGCCUGACUUGACACCGCAGCCCAUUAAUUUUGAAAGAAAGCACAUUGUUUGCGAACGUUUUUCAUAUUUUGUAUACUACAUUUGAAGAGAAAAAUAUUUUACGUUGACGGCAACCAUUUCAACCGGAAGUUGAGUAGCUUGGAGGCUAACAUCAUGGUGAAAGGAGGGUACUGACCGCUAACUAGAAACCGGUAGGAAGAAGGGGGCAGGACUCCCACGAUUCUUGCACCAACAAAAAGCUUUGGAAGGUCAGACGAAACGCUUUCCUAUAAGAAGUUGGCUUUGGGUCAUCCUUGUACGUUGGAGUCGUGAAGGACAAGUGGCCGGCAGUUUUGACAGAAGACUGAAGUUCUUUUAUGAUCUUCAAAUGUGUCUUCACAUCAAUAUCAUCUAUUGAAAGAACAAUUUAAAGGAACGGAAACUGCCAGAACAUCCUCAAAUGUACAGUGAAGCAAAGCUGCUCCUCUGUUUCAACUAUUGUCGACGGCAAAGCUUUCAUGGCCUCGAUCACCUGCUUGUGGCACAGGGAGCAGCAGCGCAGGCCAGUGGGAUCAUGCAUUCCUGGUCCUCACAGUAGUGUUGGUCUCAAUUAUUCGCCUGGUAACCGUUUUGUAAGAUUUUCUUGCUAGCUUUUCCAGGUUGUUUGGCAGUCAGGGCUACUGUAAACAUCCUUGACUGGAAGCUGGUGUUGGGUAUUGGGGCUUUCAGUCGGAUGUUUGCAGCAGCCAACUGCUAGUAUCAUCUUUAUACACCUCCACACUUGUAUUUAACUGGACAUGUAAAAUCCGUGCCGACUGCUGUUGAAAUUCAAAUAAGUGUACACAACCAAAGCCUGGACUACUAAUUAUUACCAUUAUUAUUUUUUUUGUUUGUUUGUUUGUUUGUUUACAAAUUAUUAUUUUUUUGUUACUUACGAAUAAUUAACUACUGUUGUCACAAGACUUUUUUUUUUUUUUUUUAAGUUUGCUCAAAAAGCAAAUAUAUUGUUAGAAAGUGUAAAAAAAAUUAUCCUACAGCGUUUCCUGAAUGUUAGUUUUCCUUUAUUUCAAAAACAAGCCAAGUUUUGUUUUUUGGGGCCUAAAAAAGACCUUAGCCAAGUAAUUUUAGAGCAUCAUACAUUUGCUGAGAUUCAUUUAGCUCGUCAUCUCACAAGUUUCACUUGUUGCUAGGCAGUAUUCCCGGAAAGAGUUACAUAAUUUGUGUUCAUUCUAUAUUUUUAGUUUUCUUUUUUCUUCUUUGUGGCACAGAAAUCUGUUAGCCAGCAUUGGAGACAAAUGAUAGUAAAGAAGUAAGACUGACAUACAUUAAGUAAUUUACUCUUAAUGUAGUAACCUAACCAGCUAAUAUUAUGAAUGGUAUUUUUACCCAUUGAAAUACAUUGAACUGUCAUAGCAGGCAAAAGUAAACUCCAAGACAAAUUGGUGAGCGGAAAUAUGUAAUUACAUGUUGUGAUAGUGGUCUGUUCCCAGUGGAUGGGAGUGGCUUCAUCCUCUUGAAAGACUAGAAAACUAAACAAAACAGCAGUGAACGUUUGUUAAUUGUCUGCUCCCAUUAAUGACGCUCUGUAACACACCACAGAGCCACAGACGUGGAAGAAAGGACGGAAGGAACUAGGUGUGCCAUUAUUACUAACAACCUUACCUCCUCAUCCAUCAAGAUGUCCCGUGCUUAUUUAAACAAUUCUUGUAUUUCUUAAUCAGUAAGGGAAAAGCAAUAUAAUAGAUUAUGGUGUCAGUAACAAAAAAGGGGAAGGAGAAAAUUGGGAAUAGGCAUCUAUCAAGUACUACAUUUUUUCAUGGAAAUUGGUGAAUUCAUCACCUAAAUUCAAUGGCCUCUUGAGCUGCAGGAAGUGUAAACAUCCUACACUCUCGGCGUUCACCCCCUGGUGGCCGGGAGUGAGCCUGUUUGCACUUCAUGGCUCAGGAAUUCAGUUCACCGUUGGGGUAAGGCACACGAUACUGUACUAAUGUCGUAUAUACUCAUGGUUGUUCAUGUUUGAAUAUACUGUAUUUUGUAUGUUUGACAGCUCUUACAAUGUGAAGAUGUUGGCAUGCAAAUUAAUGGGUUAUAAAAUGUGAUUGUCAGUUUAAUAAUAUAAAAAGCCAUUAAUAAAGACUAUUGACAUAUCAAAUUCUCUCACCAGAGUUGGUAAAAACGUGUGGAGUUGAGUAUAAUGUCUCCUUCCAUAAAAGAAGACUAUUGCUAAACAAUUGGUUAAGGCAAAGCAGUGUUUCGCACACUGGGCUGGCAGGAAAUGAAGGAAAAGAGGACUGGAAGCACAUGGAGUUGCCAUCUGUUUUUGGGCAACAGAGGAAAGCGUCAAUUUAGAGAGACAUGGCAUUAUGUCAUAUAUACAUAUUAUAUUAAGGAACUAGCAUCCUCAAACCAAGUGUGUGUUUUUUUUUUUUUUUUUUUUUUUUUUUUUGUUCAUCAAAUCUGAAAAAGUAUAAUUAAUCAUAUAAUCAGACUUUGUACAUUUGCACGUUCCUUCACGUUUGUGAAAUUUUAAAGGCAACAUUUCUCUAAUGAACACAAUCUUGAACCACAAAAAAAAAAAAUGUUUCAUUGUGGAUUUAUUUUGAUUUUGUGUGCUCUACAUAAGCCUACUGAUACCGUAAAGUACACAAAGUACUAAUAUAAGAACAGUGAAACAUGGCACAAUCAUAGUGAUUAAAUGAGCCCAAUACAAACUACUCCAACAUGUGUCCUCUACUCUUCCACAACGUGCAAUAUAUUCCUUUUCCCCCCAAAUAAAUUACUCAGUAAAUACUAGUUAUAUAUUUAAAUGAACAGUAAAAUCUAUACAAAAACCAAUGCACGCAAAGUUAUUGGGAAAUACCAUCCUUUCUGACACUCAAUAAAAUACAAAAGAGGCACUUAAUAGUAUGUUACACACGCUUACAUAACAUAUAUAGAUAAUGCAUACACUAUGCUAAAAAAGUCAAUUAGUUUAGCCCAUGUGAACACAUUUCACCUGAAAAGUUUGUUUUCCACUUUUAUCAAAUGCAAGUCUUGUCAGCCAGCAGGAAGAACACAAGUCAUUGAAGGCGUUUGUUUUGCAAACUCAAGCAUCUGACAAAUUAUAUUGUAAUACACUGUGAUGAAUUUUCAAAGGCCUGACUGGCUGGGUAAAAUAUGCAAUUCCUGUGGUGCUGUUAUAUUGUAAAACCCUAAAACUUGAUGGCGUCACAUACACAAUCAGCAUUCAAUAGCAUUCAAUUCAGCUUGAAUAUAAAAACUAUUAUCACCAAAGAUUUUUUUUUUUUUAUCUUUGCUCGUGCAUCUUCAUCCCCUCAUCAGAGGUUUACAGUGUCACAUUAAUGGGCUUAUAGUUCACACACAAUUCACUAUCACAGUCCGUUUGUCAAAUUGCUAUGCUGAAAACAUACAGUACCUCCAUUGUGGGAGUUUACAUUAACUCAAUCUACAUGUGAAUUCUAAAAAGCAUAGAUUUAACUUGUAUAUAUAAUAUACAGCUGUCUAAUAUUACCUAUUAUAAAUAACCUAACAGUAUUUUAACAGGAAGACAUAGAUUGUCAUUAAAGUUCAGCACACCACAUGUUAAUCGAUUGAUAUUUUCAGCCAGCUGGGUAUAGGCUUUUAGGUGACAGGCAGCCAUAUUUGAGGUCCACUAUUCUAUCCGAAUGUCACACUAUUCAUUCCUAAAUUACAAAGGGCCGCACUGAAAAAAAAAUAUAUUACAAAAACUACAUUAUUGAAAAUUUAGCACUGUAAUGUUACUAGUAAAGUGGUUUCAUGAGAAUUGCUGUACAUAUAUUUUAAGCUCCCCCAGUAGAUCUGGCUUUUUAUUCAGGAAAAAACACAUAACCCUGUAUAUAUAUAUUGUAAUUGAAAAAUACACUAACACUAUAAUAUUUGCAAUUAAGAUUUAGAGAUACUGUACAGCACACUUUACAAAUAAGUGUCAUUGUUGAGGAUCUAUAAAGUGUAUUUAUAAAUUUGUUGGUUGACACGUGUUUAUUGGUUGAUCAUAAUUUAUGAAGUGUCUGUAUAUAAUAACACGUGGCACAUUUUCAAUUACAAUAAUAAUAGUGAAUACUAUAAACCAGUUGUGGAAAAAAUAUGAUCCUGCAGUUUUAGGAUAAUUAAGACUGGAACGCAGAAAGUAUGAACCACAGCCUGCAAUUAUUUAUUGCAAUAUUAUUUUUAGAUAGAAAGUAGUGAUACCAGUAAAAAUGCAUGGCCCAUUUUAAAGUGUAAUACCAUUGAGUGGCGUUAAUAUGUCUGAAUAGUAGUGUGAAAGUUCCUUACAAGGUAUAUUUAGGCUUAAAAUGUUUCACUUUUUUUGUCUAUUUUCACAGCAUUUAAGGAUAAAACCUAAAUUAGAGAUUACUCUAAAAUAUAUACUGUAUAUAUGUAAUUGGUAAAGUAUUGCUGUGUUCUUAACCUAUCCUGCCUGACCCUAUUUAUUAUUUUUACUGAGUUUGAAAAGUAAUAAUAUAAAGAUUCUCCCUGAAAUCCAGUUUCACAUUGUCAUAUAAAUCAUGCUCCUAAUUACUAUCGUAGCUCUAAUUCCAGUGUUCGAUUAACUGGCUCAGCAUGGCAAGCAUCUGCUCAAAAACAUCACUAACCUUGUUGGAUAAUGUUCCAACUCCCAAAAAUAUAAGGCCAUCUUUAGUCUUAUGUUCAAAUAUCCCUGAUUUGGGCCUCAACCAGUUCACAUGGUUUUAGUCCAUUAAGUAGUCUUGCUUUGUUGUUCUGUCCUAGCCAACAUUCUGAAUAAUACCUUAAAUGAAUGAAGUCUGUUUAUCAUAAGCCCUUAGGAAAUUGUUCUGUCACUAAAUAUCUUCCCUACAGUUUUGUCUUAAUUCACAUUUACCUAUAGAAUGGCUCCUGAAAACAUAACAUACUGGACUGUCUCAGAAAAUUAGAAUACACAAUAUUCUAAUUUUCUGAGACAGUCCUGUAGAUUGUUCUAUGUAAAGGACGUCAGCCAAGGUCGGCCCCCCACAUUUUUACCACGCCAAAUCUGGUCCCCUUUGCAAAAAGUUUGGACACCCCUGCUUUAAAUGGUGGAUUAAUGUACAGGACUGUCUCAGAAAAUUAGAAUAUUGUGUAUUCUAAU